UUCAUAUAUAAUGAGCUACAACAGUUUGUUUUGUCUGGUUUUCCUGCUAAAAAUUCAUGGCAAGUGUUUACCAUUUUCGAAUCUCAUUUCCAACUUCACUAUCUCGACAUUUUAACAAGCUUGUGAAUUAUGAUUGAGUUAUUGUUCGUAACAAAGGUUUGCUCUCCAUUCAAUAUUUUUUUUUAGGCAAAUAUCGUGGCGUAUAUAAGACCACGAUCUCAAAUUUUUGUAUCCAGUGAAGCUUGAUGAAGAAUUACUGGGGGUGAUAAUCAAUUAUAAUGGAGAAAGGUCUGAUUUCCAUUUGGAUUGCGAUAAUGGCGUUCGUAUUUUUGGCAGCUCUAUUCCCAGCGGAAGGACACCCAAUACCGGGUCCCCCCAUGUGCAUACUUUGCCGCUGACAGGAAUCAACCGCAUUUUCCCAAGUGUUAAUUCCAUUUUCAUCAUGAAAUGGAAACCGAUGUGUUUUGCAACGAACGAAAAAUAAUGAAAUGAAAAAAUUUUUGCACUAUGAAACCCACUAAUUCCAGACAAUUCAUUAUUAAAACUUCUCAUCAAUCGA
Molecule: long non-coding RNA, 559 nt
Organism: Diachasma alloeum
Lineage: Eukaryota; Metazoa; Arthropoda; Insecta; Hymenoptera; Braconidae
Exons: 2
Source: RefSeq, a predicted model, not a curated record